This 384-nucleotide ribosomal RNA is filed under the name uncultured bacterium. RNAcentral describes it as "bacterial SSU rRNA". It matches the Rfam family "Bacterial small subunit ribosomal RNA", at positions 28 to 414 of the family's 1533-position model. The record is from RNAcentral.
GACGAACGCUGGCGGCGUGCUUAACACAUGCAAGUCGAGCGAGGCCCUUCCUUCGGGAAGGUGCCCUAGCGGCGAACGGGUGAGUAACACGUGGGCAACCUGCCCCUAGCACUGGGAUAACUCCGGGAAACCGGGGCUAAUACCGGAUAUGACGUUCGAGGGCAUCCUCGUACGUGUAAAGGAUUCUGGCUAGGGAUGGGCCCGCGGCCUAUCAGCUUGUUGGUGGGGUAACGGCCUACCAAGGCGACGACGGGAGCCGGCCUGAGAGGGUGACCGGCCACACUGGGACUGAGACACGGCCCAGACUCCUACGGGAGGCAGCAGUGGGGAAUCUUGCACAAUGGGCGAAAGCCUGAUGCAGCGACGCCGCGUGAGGGAUGACUG